This 504-nucleotide ribosomal RNA is filed under the name uncultured bacterium. RNAcentral's name for it is "bacterial SSU rRNA". It matches the Rfam family "Bacterial small subunit ribosomal RNA", at positions 8 to 507 of the family's 1533-position model. The record is from RNAcentral.
AGAGUUUGAUCAUGGCUCAGAUUGAACGCUGGCGGCAUGCUUUACACAUGCAAGUCGAGCGGCAGCGCGGGGGCAACCCUGGCGGCGAGCGGCGGACGGGUGAGUAAUGCAUCGGAACGUAUCCCGUAGUGGGGGACAACCCAGCGAAAGCUGGGCUAAUACCGCAUAUGCUCUACGGAGGAAAGCAGGGGACUCGCAAGAGCCUUGUGCUAUGGGAGCGGCCGAUGUCCGAUUAGCUAGUUGGUGGGGUAAAGGCUUACCAAGGCGACGAUCGGUAGCUGGUCUGAGAGGAUGAUCAGCCACACUGGGACUGAGACACGGCCCAGACUCCUACGGGAGGCAGCAGUGGGAAUUUUGGACAAUGGGGCAACCCUGAUCCAGCCAUGCCGCGUGCGGGAAGAAGGCCUUCGGGUUGUAAACCGCUUUUGGUCGGGAAGAAAAGGUUCUCCCUAAUACGGGGGACUGUUGACGGUACCGGCAGAAUAAGCACCGGCUAACUACGUG